RNAcentral lists this ribosomal RNA (253 nucleotides) under uncultured bacterium. RNAcentral's name for it is "partial 16S ribosomal RNA". It matches the Rfam family "Bacterial small subunit ribosomal RNA", at positions 524 to 776 of the family's 1533-position model. The record is from RNAcentral.
UACGGAGGGUGCAACCGUUGCUCGGAAUCAUUGGGCGUAAAGCGCACGUAGGCGGCCUGAUAAGUCGGGUGUGAAAGCCCUGGGCUCAACCCAGAAAGUGCACACGAAACUGUCAGGCUUGAAUAUGGAAGAGGGUCGCGGAAUUCCCGGUGUAGAGGUGAAAUUCGUAGAUAUCGGGAGGAACACCAGUGGCGAAGGCGGCGACCUGGGCCAAUAUUGACGCUGAGGUGCGAAAGCGUGGGGAGCAAACAGG